RNAcentral lists this long non-coding RNA (486 nucleotides) under Bos taurus (domestic cattle). Its description in RNAcentral is "long non-coding RNA NONBTAT007396". Lineage: Eukaryota; Metazoa; Chordata; Mammalia; Artiodactyla; Bovidae. The record is from RNAcentral.
UAACUAAAAUAUUAAAUCCAAUUUUAAGAUAAAAACUGAGGAUAUUAAGGCUGAAAUAAGGUAUUUGACCAAAUCCAGAACCUAAAUGGGCUCCAAGUCUACCCUACUUUCUACUACAGCUCCGCUGCUUAAGCCUCACAAGGAGAACCAAAACAAAUUUUCCUCUAGCCUUGGGCAGACUCACAAGCCUACAUUUUAUAGAGUCCUUAUCCAUAAAAUGGGAUAAUGCCACAAUCUGCCUCCUGGGGGCUAUUAGAGAGAUUUAUCGGUCAAGUUUGCUAAGUAGGGUGAUGCUUAGCGCCACACCAUAAUUUUGCAUAGCCUAAAACCUGAAAUUCUCAGGUUCCACUCAUUUAUUUUAUGCUUGUUUGACCAAUGAGCAGUGAGCUCCAUCCUUGCUCCCUGUCUCCUGGCAAAAGCACAUCUGAGAAACUCAGAAUUAUUUAUGCCUUAAACUUUGCUUUUUUGCAUCCCUCAGUGCCAUGA